GGGCCCGCACAAGCAGCGGAGCGUGUGGUUAAUUCGAUGUUACACGAAGAACCUUACCAGGGUUUGACAUGCAAGUGGUAGGAAACCGAAAGGUGACCGACCCUUCGGGGAGCUUGCACAGGUGCUGCAUGGCUGUCGUCAGCUCGUGUCGUGAGAUGUUCGGUUAAGUCCGCUAACGAGCGCAACCCUCGCUGUGUGUUAUAUGUGUCACACGGGACUGCCGGUCUUAAGCCGGAGGAAGGUGGGGAUGAUGUCAAGUCAGCAUGGCCUUUAUAUCCUGGGCUACACACACGCUACAAUGGCCAGCACAAUAGGUUGCUAAGCCGCGAGGUGGCGCCAAUCCAUAAAGUUGGUCUCAGUUCAGAUUGUAGGCUGCAACCCGCCUGCAUGAAGAUGGAGUUGCUAGUAACCGCAGGUCAGCUAUACUGCGGUGAAUACGUUCCCGGGGCUU
RNAcentral lists this ribosomal RNA (451 nucleotides) under uncultured Leptolinea sp. RNAcentral describes it as "bacterial SSU rRNA". It matches the Rfam family "Bacterial small subunit ribosomal RNA", at positions 917 to 1382 of the family's 1533-position model. The record is from RNAcentral. Lineage: Bacteria; Bacillati; Chloroflexota; Anaerolineae; Anaerolineales; Anaerolineaceae.